UUCUGCUGCUGACGCACAAGUGCACCAAAAAUAGAAAAAAAAUAAAGAAUUUAAAAAAUUGAGGGUUAAAAGUGGUGUUGGGAUAAAAAGAGAUAAAUCUUAAUUUGUUUUAUGAAUAAAUUCUUCACUUUGUUUCUUUAGUUAACCAAACAGUUAAAAAAUAAUAAUUCUAAAUAGGAUGUGACCCAUUGGUGGUAGAAAUUUUGGGUGCCGUCUCAUUUUGUGCCUUUGCAGUUAUGAUUGUGUGACACCCAACUGUCUCGGGUAUGAAAAGGAACCAUCCACCACUGAAAGAUCGACUGCACCUCAAAUUAUACCCACUGGGGGGGGGGGGGGGGUUGAAACCCGCUUUGACAACCAGUUUUUUUUUUGUUUUUGUUUUUUUUUUUCCCAUCUGUUUGCUGGACUGUAUUUCAUCCAGAACCAAAGUAAAUGGAAAUGGAUUCUAAUAUAUUUUAAAUGAACAAAUACAAGAAAAUAAACUAAUAUGCAAGUCAUGGUUUAAAUGAGUUGGUUCUUAAGGUAUGGGAUGAGAUUGUAAUUUGGCCUGGAUUAAAUCGGCUUUUCAGGUGUCAUGUACUUUUUAUAUUGUGUCGUUUUUGAGUGGAUCAGGGUUUUAAAGCUACCAGCUGACUCCACUCUGAGACAUGGUGAUGGCAGCAGCAUCCUGUGGGGAUGCUUUUCUUUCAGUGUGAACAGAUAUGCUUGUUAGAAUUGAUAAAGGGAUGGAUGGGCCAAAAACACAAAGCAGUCAGUUGUUUUUUUUUUUAAAUAACUAUUAGAGGUUGAAGUAGAUAUCUGACUGAGGCAGAGGUUCACCUUCCAGGUUGACAAAGUAUCUUCAUGUGUUAGAAUAGCCUAGUCAAAGUUCAGAGCAUGGACAUGCUCAGCUAGACACUAAGAGGUGCUAGAGCACCUGCAUUUUUUUUCCUCUGGACAAAAAAAAAGUGCCCUUCUGAAUUUUGUUGUUUUGGUUUCUGCAGUGUAUACAGAAACAAAAAAAAUAAUUUAAAUAUGUUUUUCAACAGUUCUCAGGGUUUGUAGUUAAUCUCACUAAUCUUCAUUCUCUAAGAAUAUCUGCCAUUUCUCACACACUGACUAUAUGCAGAAGUAUAUAUAUAAACUAAUUUUGCAUUACUAAGGCAAUUAGCGGUUCCAUGUUCCUCACAAGGUGCUCUUUUUUUCCACUUGAGUACCUGCCCUCCCAAAAUGUCUGGGAGGUACAACUGGUUCAGAACUAAAUCCAUUUGAGAAGUGAUGGCUGCACACACAUUGACACAGAUUCAGAUACUCUCUAUGUUAGAGUGCAGUUGACUCUAAAUACAUCUUGUAUUAACUGUACUAUUCAGUGGUGUUCUAUUUGUUAUUGUACACAUGUUGUCUGUCGUUAUGGUUUCUCUGCUUUUUUCUCUCUGCGGGUAUAGAAACAGACUUCUAGGGUGUUCUCUGGUAAUCUCUCUGUCCUUCUUUCUCGCCACUAUUCUUGCCUCUUUUCACCCUCUAAACCUUUUUCUGCCACCAUAUUUCAUGUCCCUGUCCAUUACAUUUGGAAUAAACCAAAAGUAAUUUCUAA
Long non-coding RNA from Poecilia latipinna (sailfin molly), 1573 nucleotides. RefSeq lists it as uncharacterized. NCBI's taxonomy places the organism in Eukaryota, Metazoa, Chordata, Actinopteri, Cyprinodontiformes, Poeciliidae. The record is from RefSeq and is a predicted model, not a curated record. The transcript has 2 exons.